CUCUCUCCGAAAGACAGAACUCUCCUCCCUCUCUCCACUUCUCUCUCUCUGCCUACCCCUUUCUUCCAAUUCCUACCAAAUUCAUCAACAAAUUCAUUCCUAAUAAACAUGCAAGCUUGGAAACUUAAUCUUGGUAGCAACUCGGUUGUAUACAGCACCUGAGAUAUUGUUUGAAUGUGGCCAAUAUUCAACUCCAAUUGAUAUUUGGUCUGUGGACUGUAUUUUUGGUGAGAUGGUACUUGCACAACCAAUUCUCCGAGCAAUUGAUUGCAAGGAUGAACAAGAGACGAUUUUCAGGCUAUGAAGGUGGAAAACAUGAUAAAAUUGAAGGAGGAAUUUGAUUACAAAAGCUUAUCAAGAAGGCUAGACAUAGAAUUAGAUAAACUCAUAAUGGAACAUGAAAGACAGCAGAAGUGAUUUGAGGAUGACAUUAAGGAACCGGGGACUAUACAUUUGAAAGAAUACUACGUCUUGGGGGUCCAUUGGUGAAGGAAAACAUCGCAACCAUGGUGGUUCUUGAGAGGUUAGAGUCACUUUUUAACGAUCUUUACUUUGAAACUAAAUGAACCAACCUUUUUAUUUAAACAAGGUCAUUUAAUAUAUGUUAUGUAUUACUGAAAUAUGCAACUGCGGUCGAUUCUAUGGACAAAGACGUCAUGUGCUGCAGCGUGGUGCAACUUUUGUGUGUCACUGACUUCCUUCAAUUAGGAAGAGCAACCAUUGAAGAGGCACGCAGUCUGUUACACUGGUUGGACUUUGAGGCAGGUUUCGGCAAGAUGGGUGUAUUGAAUUAGUGAACUUGCAAAUUUAUAAUUUUCUCUAUGUUUUUUCAUACUUAUUAGUUGUUGUGAAAAUGAAAACAUGAGAAGUAAAUAGGCCUUAAAUUAUUGUUUGUGGAAUAGAAUGGCAUCACAGAACUGUUUCUAAAUAAUUGUCUUCUCUGUAACCAAAA
Medicago truncatula (barrel medic) is the source of this 952-nucleotide long non-coding RNA. RefSeq lists it as uncharacterized. The record is from RefSeq and is a predicted model, not a curated record. The transcript is spliced from 4 exons. Lineage: Eukaryota; Viridiplantae; Streptophyta; Magnoliopsida; Fabales; Fabaceae.